Molecule: transfer-messenger RNA, 395 nt
Filed under: uncultured Dysgonomonas sp.
Lineage: Bacteria; Pseudomonadati; Bacteroidota; Bacteroidia; Bacteroidales; Dysgonomonadaceae
Rfam family: transfer-messenger RNA
About the family: Bacterial tmRNA, also known as 10Sa RNA or SsrA, is named for its dual tRNA and mRNA-like properties. Its role is to liberate the mRNA from a stalled ribosome. To accomplish this part of the tmRNA is used as a reading frame that ends in a translation stop signal.
Source: RNAcentral
GGGGCUGACUGGUUUUGACAGCGAGAUGAAGUGAUUUGUAAGCAUGCAGUGCAUAGUCGGCUGGCACUAUAAUCUUAGACGUCAAAAUUAUAACUGGCGAAAAUAAUUACGCUCUUGCUGCUUAAUCGAAUUAUAGUAGAUAUAGCUUAAUCCGUGUUUAGGACAUGGACAAGACAUCACUCGGAAGCUGUGGCUUCGAAGCGUUCCGGUUAAGUGGUGUAGGUAAAUCGGAGAUAGAAUAGGAGAGGCUUCGGCUCUUAUUUGAAAUAAAGAAGCUAAGGUUCAGGUUGGUGGCUUCGGUCUUGCCUGUUCCCUACAAUUGAAGGCGAAGAUAAGCAUGUAGAAAGCAAAUUAAUUCCUUGUUUGGACGAGGGUUCGACUCCCUCCAGCUCCAC